This 226-nucleotide long non-coding RNA is filed under the name Elaeis guineensis (African oil palm). RNAcentral's name for it is "long non-coding RNA (EGUI_LNC014100)". Lineage: Eukaryota; Viridiplantae; Streptophyta; Magnoliopsida; Arecales; Arecaceae. The record is from RNAcentral.
GGCCGACGACACAUUAUGACUUGAAGAAGACCUUGAGAUCCUUCACUCCGAGCUCUUUAGCAAGGCGAAACCUAACUAUCAGGGCCUCAUACUUGACUUUAUUAUUAAAAGCUUUGAAGCCAUAUCAGAGAGCGUAUUUUGUUAUGACUCCUUUUGGGCUGGCUAAGAUGAGUACGACUCCACAUCCUUAUAAAUUUGAGGUUUCGUCGAUAUUAAGAAUCCAUUA